This 391-nucleotide unclassified non-coding RNA is filed under the name soil metagenome. Its description in RNAcentral is "partial contains 5.8S ribosomal RNA, internal transcribed spacer 2, and large subunit ribosomal RNA". The stretch from base 1 to 122 matches the Rfam family "5.8S ribosomal RNA", at positions 35 to 154 of the family's 154-position model. The record is from RNAcentral.
GAUGAAGAACGUAGCGAAAUGCGAUACUUGGUGUGAAUUGCAGAAUCCCGUGAACCAUCGAGUCUUUGAACGCAAGAUGCGCCCGAAGCCAUUAGGCCGAGGGCACGCCUGCCUGGGCGUCACACGUCGUUGCCCCCCCAUCUACUCCUUCGGGAUUGCGGGGGGCGGAUGAUGGCCUCUCGUGCGCCUCGUCGCGCGGUUGGCCUAAAUGCCAAGUCCUCGGCGACGCACGCCACGACAAUCGGUGGUUGCGAAACCUCGGUUGCCUGUCGUGUGCGGUCGUCGCGCAUCGAGGGCUCGAAAAAAUUGCCGGGCUUCGGCUCGACUUUCAACGCGACCCCAGGUCAGGCGGGGUUACCCGCUGAAUUUAAGCAUAUCAAUAAGCGGAGGA